CGCUGCCUCUGUCUCUGGGCAGCCUGGGGCCACCCAAGCAGACUCCACACUCAGCUGGCAGCGUGCAGAGCCCUGCCUACCGGGGGCUGGGGAAGGAGCCCGAACCUGGCACAGGCGGAGGAUGGCUGCCCAGGACAACGCUCCCACCCUCAGGACUGGCAGUGAUCUGCUGCACGCUCAUGGACCCUGGGACGAGGCUGCUGGGUGAGUUCAGGACGUUCCCACCUCUCCCUCAUGUGGGUCCCGCUGUUGGCAGCUGUGGCCAGGGCAAUAUCUACCUUUCUUUGUCCCAUCAGCUAAAGAUUCUCCCCGGGAAGCAAUGGACAAAGUUCCUAGAUACUGCUCCCUCUGCCCGCCCCGGGGGCUGCUCUGCCCACAGGCUGCUAGCCCAACGGGAAGAGACGGGACGAGGAGAAUAGUUCCAGUUUUUUUGGAAGCCACCUGUUGAGCAAAUUCAGCCAUUGCCCACGGCCUUCAGUUGUGGGCUUGAACCGGCCUGAAGUUUGGGCUGCCCAAGUUCCACCCCAAGACUGAAUGAGUUCUGCUGAGUAGGAAGUGGGCAGCAGCACUGUGCCAACGCCUAGCACAGAGUCAGAGUAGUAGACAGGGAAAGCCAAGAGCAGCAGACACAGCAGCCUGCUGCGUCGUUACCUUGGCCAUACUGAUCGCACUUGAGAGCAAAGGUCGCAGCGCUCUAAGGCUGCAGAGAGACAGCUGCAAGUCUUUUGGUGAAACAACACGGCCCGUGUAUGUGGGACGUCAGACUAGCUGCUCACAAUGCUCGAAGGCCUUCAGGCCUAUGAUGCUAUAAACAAGCGCUUGCAAUGAUGCCAGGAGGAACUUAGCUGUGUAGAUCUACUGGAGAGUCUGACAGCACACUCUGACUGCUGUCGCUAUCUCCUUUCCUGUCGUGCCUGAUUGACGAGAUGUGCUGGCUCUCCUGCUCCGCACAGCACUUCCCACCCACCCAUGGGAACCGGCCAAUGUAGAAUAUUAGUGAGCUCAUAGAAGGAAACAGGCUUGUGAGUGUGUGGAGGGAGCUGGAGCAGGUUUCCCUUUGCAGACAAACUCCUUUAUGGCUGAGAAAGAAAUAGACCUAAUGGAGUUUCAGUAAAAUCCAGAAUGGGUUUGCUUGGCCCAGGCUGCGGAAGCCCACGCUCAGCGUUGUCAGGAUCACAACAGCUGCCUCUGUCCCCAGAGCAGAUACUAGCAGGUUCCCCAGAUCAGCAACUUCAGCCUCUGUUCAGUCACAUUCAAGCACCCACCUUCCCCAAGUAGUUAAAGAGACACUGUCAAGUUACAGAUUGCACCCCCCAGCAUAUUGCCAUUAACCUAUGAGAGCCUGCUCCUGCAAGGUGCCAAAUGUCCCUAACUCCCAGUGACUUCAGGGCAGUUAUUUGGUCUGUAAAAAUGCUCAGCAUCCUUUUGGGUGCCAUAAAUAAUAAAGUAUCAGAGGGGAGCCGUGUUAGUCUGGAUCUGUAAAAGCAGCAAAGAGU
Mauremys reevesii (Reeves's turtle) is the source of this 1496-nucleotide long non-coding RNA. RefSeq lists it as uncharacterized. The record is from RefSeq and is a predicted model, not a curated record. NCBI's taxonomy places the organism in Eukaryota, Metazoa, Chordata, Testudines, Geoemydidae. The transcript has 3 exons.